This is a long non-coding RNA of Sander lucioperca (pikeperch), 132 nucleotides long. RefSeq lists it as uncharacterized. The transcript has 4 exons. The record is from RefSeq and is a predicted model, not a curated record. NCBI's taxonomy places the organism in Eukaryota, Metazoa, Chordata, Actinopteri, Perciformes, Percidae.
GACAGCAGUUUUUACAGAUGUGUGGGUAUGGCAUGUGCGUAUGAAUGUAUACUUCUAGGCACCAGAAGGAGUAGCACUUAAAUUUCGUUGUGACAAUGUUUUACAAUGACAAAUAAAUGAUUCUGAUUCUGA